RNAcentral lists this ribosomal RNA (253 nucleotides) under uncultured bacterium. Its description in RNAcentral is "partial 16S ribosomal RNA". It matches the Rfam family "Bacterial small subunit ribosomal RNA", at positions 524 to 776 of the family's 1533-position model. The record is from RNAcentral.
UACGAAGGGGGCUAGCGUUGCUCGGAAUCACUGGGCGUAGAGCGCACGUAGGCGGCUUUCUAAGUCAGGGGUGAAAUCCUGGAGCUCAACUCCAGAACUGCCUUUGAUACUGGGAAGCUCGAGUCCGGGAGAGGUGAGUGGAACUCCGAGUGUAGAGGUGAAAUUCGUAGAUAUUCGGAAGAACACCAGUGGCGAAGGCGGCUCACUGGCCCGGUACUGACGCUGAGGUGCGAAAGCGUGGGGAGCAAACAGG